AAAUUUCAAAAACCAAGGUGUUUUUCCCAGGGUGAGGCUGUCCCUUGCACUCCAGGCAGGCUGACCCCUGCAAGUUUCUCCAAAUGCAGGAAACUCGAUUGUACAAUUUUGUGGCAAUGGGGGACUGCUUCCCUGCUUUCCCCCU
This 145-nucleotide small nuclear RNA is filed under the name Crocodylus porosus (Australian saltwater crocodile). Its description in RNAcentral is "U1 spliceosomal RNA (ENSCPRG00005009912.1)". It matches the Rfam family "U1 spliceosomal RNA", at positions 21 to 166 of the family's 166-position model. Rfam says of the family: U1 is a small nuclear RNA (snRNA) component of the spliceosome (involved in pre-mRNA splicing). Its 5' end forms complementary base pairs with the 5' splice junction, thus defining the 5' donor site of an intron. Lineage: Eukaryota; Metazoa; Chordata; Crocodylia; Crocodylidae. The record is from RNAcentral.